RNAcentral lists this ribosomal RNA (252 nucleotides) under uncultured bacterium. Its description in RNAcentral is "partial 16S ribosomal RNA". It matches the Rfam family "Bacterial small subunit ribosomal RNA", at positions 524 to 775 of the family's 1533-position model. The record is from RNAcentral.
UACGAAGGGGGCUAGCGUUGUUCGGAAUUACUGGGCGUAAAGCGCGUGUAGGCGGGUCCUUAAGUCAGGGGGGAAAUGCCAAGGCUCAACCUUGGAACUGCCUUUGAUACUGGGGACCUUGAGUCCGGGAGAGGUGAGUGGAACUGCGAGUGUAGAGGUGAAAUUCGUAGAUAUUCGCAAGAACACCAGUGGCGAAGGCGGCUCACUGGCCCGGAACUGACGCUGAGACGCGAAAGCGUGGGGAGCAAACAG